GUGGCAGUCGCGCCGUCCUCCGGCGGUUACCGAUCUCCGCUUAUUCACUCGCGGCGCGACCUGUCUGUAGGGAGGGUGUGUGUCCCGUCCUGCCAGACGGCGCUGCGCCCUCCUCUCGCGGCAGCAAGCUGGCCAGCGCGGUUUCACGUUUCACAGAAUGCAGAGAUAUCUGGUGACCAGGUUCUGGAAGAGCCAGCAGUUUGGAGAGAGUGGAAAAAGGAUUGGUCCCAGGGGAACAGUUGUUACUGAGAG
This is a long non-coding RNA of Gallus gallus (chicken), 252 nucleotides long. NCBI's taxonomy places the organism in Eukaryota, Metazoa, Chordata, Aves, Galliformes, Phasianidae. The record is from Ensembl.